RNAcentral lists this ribosomal RNA (496 nucleotides) under uncultured bacterium. RNAcentral describes it as "partial 16S ribosomal RNA". It matches the Rfam family "Bacterial small subunit ribosomal RNA", at positions 29 to 507 of the family's 1533-position model. The record is from RNAcentral.
AUGAACGCUGGCGGCGUGCCUAAUACAUGCCAGUCGAGCGGACGGACGAGAAGCUUGCUUCUCUGAUGUUAGCGGCGGACGGGUGAGUAACACGUGGACAACCUACCUAUAAGACUGGGAUAACUUCGGGAAACCGUAGCUAAUACCGGAUAAUAUUUUGAACCGCAUGGUUCAAAAGUGAAAGACGGUCUUGCUGUCACUUAUAGAUGGAUCCGCGCUGCAUUAGCUAGUUGGUAAGGUAACGGCUUACCAAGGCAACGAUGCAUAGCCGACCUGAGAGGGUGAUCGGCCACACUGGAACUGAGACACGGUCCAGACUCCUACGGGAGGCAGCAGUAGGGAAUCUUCCGCAAUGGGCGAAAGCCUGACGGAGCAACGCCGCGUGAGUGAUGAAGGUCUUCGGAUCGUAAAACUCUGUUAUUAGGGAAGAACAUAUGUGUAAGUAACUGUGCACAUCUUGACGGUACCUAAUCAGAAAGCCACGGCUAACUACGUG